This 537-nucleotide ribosomal RNA is filed under the name uncultured archaeon. RNAcentral describes it as "bacterial SSU rRNA". It matches the Rfam family "Archaeal small subunit ribosomal RNA", at positions 464 to 997 of the family's 1478-position model. The record is from RNAcentral.
GCCGCGGUAAUACCGGCGGCUCGAGUGGUGGCCACUUUUAUUGGGCUUAAAGCGUUCGUAGCUGGGUUAUUAAGUCCCUUGGGAAAUCCGACAGCUUAACUGUCGGGCGUCUAAGAGAUACUGGUAAUCUUGGAACCGGGAGAGGUGAGGGGUACUUCGGGGGUAGGAGUGAAAUCCUGUAAUCCUCGAGGGACCACCUGUGGCGAAGGCGCCUCACCAGAACGGCUUCGACAGUGAGGGACGAAAGCUGGGGGAGCAAACCGGAUUAGAUACCCGGGUAGUCCCAGCCGUAAACGAUGUGCGUUAGGUGUAUCGGUGACCACGAGUCACCGAGGUGCCGAAGGGAAACCGUGAAACGUACCGCCUGGGAAGUACGGUCGCAAGGCUGAAACUUAAAGGAAUUGGCGGGGGAGCACCACAACAGGUGGAGCCUGCCGGUUUAAUUGGACUCAACGCCGGAAAUCUCACCGGAUAAGACAGCAGAAUGAUUGCCGGGCUGAAGACUCUGCAUGACUAGCUGAGAGAAGAGGUGCAUGG